Molecule: ribosomal RNA, 495 nt
Filed under: uncultured bacterium
Lineage: Bacteria
Description: partial 16S ribosomal RNA
Rfam family: Bacterial small subunit ribosomal RNA
Source: RNAcentral
GACGAACGCUGGCGGCGUGCCUAAUACAUGCAAGUAGAACGCUGAAGGAGGAGCUUGCUUCUCUGGAUGAGUUGCGAACGGGUGAGUAACGCGUAGGUAACCUGCCUGGUAGCGGGGGAUAACUAUUGGAAACGAUAGCUAAUACCGCAUAAGAGUAGAUGUUGCAUGACAUUUGCUUAAAAGGUGCAAUUGCAUCACUACCAGAUGGACCUGCGUUGUAUUAGCUAGUUGGUGGGGUAACGGCUCACCAAGGCGACGAUACAUAGCCGACCUGAGAGGGUGAGCGGCCACACUGGGACUGAGACACGGCCCAGACUCCUACGGGAGGCAGCAGGAGGGAAUCUUCGGCAAUGGACGGAAGUCUGACCGAGCAACGCCGCGUGAGUGAAGAAGGUUGUCGGAUCGUAAAGCUCGGUUGUAAGAGAAGAACGAGUGUGAGAGUGGAAAGUUCACACUGUGACGGUAUCUGACCAGAAAGGGACGGCUAACUACGUG